This 885-nucleotide ribosomal RNA is filed under the name Dyella sp. RNAcentral describes it as "bacterial SSU rRNA". It matches the Rfam family "Bacterial small subunit ribosomal RNA", at positions 83 to 959 of the family's 1533-position model. The record is from RNAcentral. Lineage: Bacteria; Pseudomonadati; Pseudomonadota; Gammaproteobacteria; Lysobacterales; Rhodanobacteraceae.
UGUGGGUGGCGAGUGGCGGACGGGUGAGUAAUGCAUCGGGACCUGCCCAGACGUGGGGGAUAACGUAGGGAAACUUACGCUAAUACCGCAUACGUCCUACGGGAGAAAGCGGGGGAUCGAAAGACCUCGCGCGGUUGGAUGGACCGAUGUUCGAUUAGCUAGUUGGUGAGGUAAUGGCUCACCAAGGCGACGAUCGAUAGCUGGUCUGAGAGGAUGAUCAGCCACACUGGGACUGAGACACGGCCCAGACUCCUACGGGAGGCAGCAGUGGGGAAUAUUGGACAAUGGGCGAAAGCCUGAUCCAGCAAUGCCGCGUGUGUGAAGAAGGCCUUCGGGUUGUAAAGCACUUUUAUCAGGAGCGAAAUACUGCCGGCUAAUACCCGGCGGGGCUGACGGUACCUGAGGAAUAAGCACCGGCUAACUUCGUGCCAGCAGCCGCGGUAAUACGAAGGGUGCAAGCGUUAAUCGGAAUUACUGGGCGUAAAGCGUGCGUAGGCGGUUCUUUAAGUCUGCUGUGAAAUCCCCGGGCUCAACCUGGGAAUGGCAGUGGAUACUGGAGAGCUAGAGUGUGAUAGAGGAUGGGUGGAAUUCCCGGUGUAGCGGUGAAAUGCGUAGAGAUCGGGAGGAACAUCAGUGGCGAAAGGCGGCCAUCUGGAUCAACACUGACGCUGAGGCACGAAAGCGUGGGGGAGCAAACAGGAUUAGAUACCCUGGUAGUCCACGCCCUAACGAUGCGAACUGCUGUGGUCUCAACUCGGAGAUCAGUGUCGAAGCUAACGCGUUUAAGUUCGCCGCCUGGGUAGUACGUUCGCAGACUGAAACUCAAAGGUCUGACGGGGGACCCGCACAAGCCGAUGCAGUAUGGUGGAUUAACCUCCGAUGCCA